UAUUAAUCCUAAUCUAAACUGUAUACCUUAAUUGCAUUGAACUGCUCAAAGAGAGGACAGAUACAUGCUGAUUGGUGCCUGUGAAGUUACUAUCUGAUUUCAAGGCUUCUCCUGGAGACAGGGGUCUUUCUGUGUGCAGCAGAACGGUGUGAGGUUAUAGUGGAGCAUGAGCAAAAUCUCAUUAGCUUCACUUGCGGAGAGGGGAGGAAGAGUAAAUAUUAUUAGAUUAAUCUAAUGACUAACAGCAGCAUUUUCAUUUGUGGUAUAAACAGAAUUCAAUAAGAAACACAAUAGAAACAAAACCAUAAAACCUUCAGUCAUGAAUGCGCUGCUUCUUUUCAAAAUAACACAACUACACAAAAUUACUUCCAAAUAGAAUUUGUUUUGAUUUGUAUAGUACUGGCAAUAAAAUACACUAUGUAUUCACUUAAAAAAAUGAGAAGAAGCUUUAAAACAAUUAAACAGGUGAAUGCAUAGAAAGAGAGAUUUCACAGAACAGCUCCACUUCUUGUCGCCUGGAGUGUUGGUGAGCCCCUGCUCUGCUCGGAGGGCCCCUGAUGGAGGAGUGACUGCGUGAGUCUACUGGAUGCCAGAGCACUCUUCUGCAGCUCUGCCAAGCAGCAGAUGAAUGUGGCUGUUAAGCCAGGGAGAUGUCACCUUUCAGCAGGAAGCCCAGGAUGAGACGCUGAGCGAGGAUUUUGUUCCACCUGGAUGCGUGGCAGAGUGCUGAGUGCAGAGCUGCUGACCCAGGCACCGCUUCAUUUCAACCUCAGCAGCAGCACUGAGACUUGGUCCUUGCCCCAGCCACAGAAACAGUACCUCUAAACCUAGCUGCUUCUCACACUGCCAU
Molecule: long non-coding RNA, 850 nt
Organism: Thunnus maccoyii (southern bluefin tuna)
Lineage: Eukaryota; Metazoa; Chordata; Actinopteri; Scombriformes; Scombridae
Exons: 3
Source: RefSeq, a predicted model, not a curated record